RNAcentral lists this ribosomal RNA (814 nucleotides) under Photobacterium damselae subsp. damselae. Its description in RNAcentral is "partial 23S ribosomal RNA". It matches the Rfam family "Bacterial large subunit ribosomal RNA", at positions 399 to 1215 of the family's 2925-position model. The record is from RNAcentral. Lineage: Bacteria; Pseudomonadati; Pseudomonadota; Gammaproteobacteria; Vibrionales; Vibrionaceae.
UCAGUGAAAUCGAGUAGGACGGGACACGUGUUAUCCUGUCUGAAUAUGGGGGGACCAUCCUCCAAGGCUAAAUACUCCUGACUGACCGAUAGUGAACCAGUACCGUGAGGGAAAGGCGAAAAGUACCCCUGUGAGGGGAGUGAAAUAGAACCUGAAACCGUGUACGUACAAGCAGUAGGAGCAGGCUUGUCCUGUGACUGCGUACCUUUUGUAUAAUGGGUCAGCGACUUAAUUUUAGUAGCAAGGUUAACCAUCUAGGGGAGCCGUAGGGAAACCGAGUCUUAACUGGGCGUCAUAGUUGCUAGGAUUAGACCCGAAACCGAGUGAUCUAGCCAUGGGCAGGUUGAAGAUUGAGUAACAUCAAUUGGAGGACCGAACCGACUAAUGUUGAAAAAUUAGCGGAUGACUUGUGGCUAGGGGUGAAAGGCCAAUCAAACUCGGAGAUAGCUGGUUCUCCCCGAAAGCUAUUUAGGUAGCGCCUCGGACGAAUACUACUGGGGGUAGAGCACUGUUAAGGCUAGGGGGUCAUCCCGACUUACCAACCCUUUGCAAACUCCGAAUACCAGUAAGUACUAUCCGGGAGACACACGGCGGGUGCUAACGUCCGUCGUGAAGAGGGAAACAACCCAGACCGCCAGCUAAGGUCCCAAAGUUAUAGCUAAGUGGGAAACGAUGUGGGAAGGCUCAGACAGCCAGGAUGUUGGCUUAGAAGCAGCCAUCAUUUAAAGAAAGCGUAAUAGCUCACUGGUCGAGUCGGCCUGCGCGGAAGAUUUAACGGGGCUAAGCUAUACACCGAAGCUGCGGCAAUGUGCUU